Macaca mulatta (Rhesus monkey) is the source of this 666-nucleotide long non-coding RNA. RefSeq lists it as uncharacterized. Lineage: Eukaryota; Metazoa; Chordata; Mammalia; Primates; Cercopithecidae. The record is from RefSeq and is a predicted model, not a curated record.
UAGCUGGGAUUACAGGCGUGCACCACCAUGCCCAGCUAAUUUUUGUACCGUUAGUAGGGAUUGGGUUUCAUAAUGUUGGCCAGGGUGGUCUUGAACUCCUGACCUCAUGAGCUGCACUCCUCGGCCUCCCAAAGUGUUGUGAUUACAGGUGUGAGCCACUGCGCCCAGCCCACAUAUACCUUUUAAAGAAAGUUUAGCACUUCAGGUUUGCAAAAUUUCAUGUCCUGAUUUUAAAUUUAUUAAUUUAUUCUUUUUAACUUUUAUUUUAGGUAUGGGAGUACACGUGAAGGUUUUUUCCAUAGGUGAAUUUGUGUCACAAGGGUUUGUUGUACAGAUUAUUUCAUUACCCAGGGAGUGUAUGGCAAACGCACCUGAUAGCAGUAACUUAAGCAUACCCUGAGAAUGACCCUGUACCGCAGACACACCUGAAUGUGUGUUCCAAGCUAGGGAAUCCGGAAGUGGCCAGCGCAGAGAUUUGUUCCUUGUCCAUGAGGAACAGGCCUUUUGCAAGCAGUUGCAGUUCUUCUGCCCAGUCCGCCAUUGCUGUAUUGUACCUAAGAUGGUUCUCCUGUCCAGUCUGCUGCCACUGGACAGUGCAGUUAUCUUAUCUAGCCCAUCGCCACUGGACUCUCCCCUGUAUGUAAGCCCCCAAUAAAACUCCAUGUC